ACAGCUCAGUUGGUAGAGCAUGAGACUCUUAAUCUCAGGGCUGUGGGUUCGAGCCCCAUGUUGGGUA
Podarcis lilfordi (Lilford's wall lizard) is the source of this 67-nucleotide non-coding RNA. The record is from the annotation of a GenBank genome assembly. NCBI's taxonomy places the organism in Eukaryota, Metazoa, Chordata, Lepidosauria, Squamata, Lacertidae.